UUGUGUGUUGUCCCCUGCUGACAGCCUCAAAGCCGGACAUUGCUGCUGGGAGAAUUUGAGUGUAGGUUCCAGGGUAACAGAAAUUACAAAUUAAUUGAUUUGUCAAAUCCUUCCUCUCAGCUUAGAUGCAACAACGGAUUCUUGCAUAACAAAUGAGCGUUCCCAAUAGUGCCAACAAUUUGCUUUCCUGCUUUUCUUUGUGUUGCAUUUCCCGACUGUGGAUAAGAAUGAACGCAGCAUUCGCAACACUUGCACAUGAACGGCAAAGAGUAUUCCACAACAGUCUCUGCUUAUGGCCUGGGAAAGCAGUAGAAGACGGCUCAAGUCCUUGGGUCCCUGCAACCAUUUGGAAACCCAGAAGAAUCUCCUGGAUCCAGGCUUUGGAUGGGCCCAGCUCCUUCCAUCGCAGCCAUUUGGGGAGUGAACCAGUGAAUGGAAGACCUUUCUUUCUGUCUCUGUAUCUGUACGCCAAGGCAAACAUCUUUCUCUCGAUGCCAUAGUGAACCAAGCUCAGAAAACGUUCCUGGAUGCUGUAAGAUCAGAUGGGUUAACUGUG
Oryctolagus cuniculus (rabbit) is the source of this 556-nucleotide non-coding RNA. NCBI's taxonomy places the organism in Eukaryota, Metazoa, Chordata, Mammalia, Lagomorpha, Leporidae. The record is from RefSeq and is a predicted model, not a curated record.